GGGGCUUAUGAUCCACGUCGCGGGUAUUACUGAAAGUGGCCAACCAAGAUGGCCGUGGUAGUGUGGGACAGCUGAUGGUGAUUUCUGCUGCUUCCGUGUUCUGAUGGAAAUCAGCAGCCUCUUUUAGCUUGUAUUCACAUUGAACAUUUCAGUUUAGUGAGCAGGAUUUUUUGUACUGUAUUUUGGUUUUUGGUAUGCAGAGUUGUUACCUCUCGAAUGCUUUAUAUUUGGUACCAAGCUAAGUUAAUUGCAUACCAGUAACUUUAGC
Molecule: unclassified non-coding RNA, 268 nt
Filed under: Hevea brasiliensis (rubber tree)
Lineage: Eukaryota; Viridiplantae; Streptophyta; Magnoliopsida; Malpighiales; Euphorbiaceae
Source: RNAcentral